GCCACGCCUUUUUUUUCAGACCAGGAAGUGCAAUUCCCCACAGCAGGACUUUCUUCAGAGCUUGCAUGUGUUCCCCAUGGCUGCUUUGGGUGGAGGAGGAUGAGUGUCCUGCAGCCGCAGGAGUGGGAGUUGGCAGUUGGCAGUUUUCUCAUACUGAAGACAGUCAAGGGAUGGUGCUGAAUAAGUUCACGAUAAAGAGAAUGAAGAUGUUGAGGUCAAGGGAUGCUGAAGUCAGAAAAAAAAAUGGAACCACUCAAACCACUGAGGCCAUGCCUAGCAUGAAUAUAAGCCAGCAAACUCUUGAACCUUGCUGGACUCUUGCAGAACGCAUCCAUCAAGUAAAGCAUCAGUGGGAUGCAUAGAAGAGUCACUGACAUGUCAAUGCAGGAGAACAACAGGUGCACACAACGAAAUGAAUGAUGAAUUGAUGGCUGAAUUCUUCAGCUUCAGGGUCAUGGUUUUGUACAUUCUGACUCACUAUCACUCUGUCAUGGCUUACUGAGAGACCUGAAUAGAAGAGGCAUCAUUGAAGGUGUUUUUAAAACUUUGAGGGGGGCAGCUGUUAUAAUGCAUCCUUUUAUAAUCAUUGUAUUAUUAUUAUUAUUAUUAUCGGAAGGCAAUGUAGCCCGUUAAAAUCAAGUCUUUAUUCUUUUUUCACAACAAUAAAACAAGUUGUCUUAAUGCGCAUUGAGGUCGACCACACAGCGUGAGCCCAUUCUAAGAGUUUUGUUUUAUUGAUUUUCUCUCAGAGAAAUGAUUUGAAAGAAGUGGUAUCUGGGGCUGUUGGGAAAAGUUGUUUCUGAAAGCAUUUAUAGCAGCAAAAUGUUAAGCUUGGAUUUAAAGUGAACACGAUUUGUAGUAAACGGGCUAAAACAUGCAAACCACUGAUACGCUUCUUUCAGGCU
Molecule: long non-coding RNA, 905 nt
Organism: Notolabrus celidotus (New Zealand spotty)
Lineage: Eukaryota; Metazoa; Chordata; Actinopteri; Labriformes; Labridae
Exons: 3
Source: RefSeq, a predicted model, not a curated record